Molecule: ribosomal RNA, 586 nt
Filed under: uncultured bacterium
Lineage: Bacteria
Description: partial 16S ribosomal RNA
Rfam family: Bacterial small subunit ribosomal RNA
Source: RNAcentral
UGGGGAAUUUUGGACAAUGGGCGAAAGCCUGAUCCAGCAAUGCCGCGUGUGUGAAGAAGGCCUUCGGGUUGUAAAGCACUUUUGUCCGGAAAGAAAUCCUUGGCUCUAAUACAGUCGGGGGAUGACGGUACCGGAAGAAUAAGCACCGGCUAACUACGUGCCAGCAGCCGCGGUAAUACGUAGGGUGCAAGCGUUAAUCGGAAUUACUGGGCGUAAAGCGUGCGCAGGCGGUUUGCUAAGACCGAUGUGAAAUCCCCGGGCUCAACCUGGGAACUGCAUUGGUGACUGGCAGGCUAGAGUAUGGCAGAGGGGGGUAGAAUUCCACGUGUAGCAGUGAAAUGCGUAGAGAUGUGGAGGAAUACCGAUGGCGAAGGCAGCCCCCUGGGCCAAUACUGACGCUCAUGCACGAAAGCGUGGGGAGCAAACAGGAUUAGAUACCCUGGUAGUCCACGCCCUAAAACGAUGUCAACUAGUUGUUGGGGAUUCAUUUCCUUAGUAACGUAGCUAACGCGUGAAGUUGACCGCCUGGGGGAGUACGGUCGCAAGAUUAAAACUCAAAUGAAUUGACGGGGUAUAGCUGUUUCCU